This 75-nucleotide transfer RNA is filed under the name Candidatus Entotheonella gemina. RNAcentral describes it as "Candidatus Entotheonella sp. TSY2 tRNA". It matches the Rfam family "tRNA". Rfam says of the family: Transfer RNA (tRNA) molecules are approximately 80 nucleotides in length. Their secondary structure includes four short double-helical elements and three loops (D, anti-codon, and T loops). Further hydrogen bonds mediate the characteristic L-shaped molecular structure. tRNAs have two regions of fundamental functional importance: the anti-codon, which is responsible for specific mRNA codon recognition, and the 3' end, to which the tRNAs corresponding amino acid is attached (by aminoacyl-tRNA synthetases). tRNAs cope with the degeneracy of the genetic code in two manners: having more than one tRNA (with a specific anti-codon) for a particular amino acid; and 'wobble' base-pairing, i.e. permitting non-standard base-pairing at the 3rd anti-codon position. Lineage: Bacteria; Pseudomonadati; Candidatus Tectimicrobiota; Candidatus Entotheonellia; Candidatus Entotheonellales; Candidatus Entotheonellaceae. The record is from Rfam by way of RNAcentral.
GGCCGCGUAGCCCAAUCCGGAAGAGGUGCCGGUUUCAAAAGCCGGAGGUUCCCGGUUCGACUCCGGGCGCGGCUA